UCCGGUUUGUCACCGGCAGUCUCGCAUGAGUCCCCGGCCGAACCGCUGGCAACAUGCGACGAGGGUUGCGCUCGUUGCGGGACUUAACCCAACAUCUCACGACACGAGCUGACGACAGCCAUGCACCACCUGUGAUUCUGCCCCGAAGGGAAGCCCUGUUUCCAGGGCGGUCAGGAACAUGUCAAGCCCAGGUAAGGUUCUUCGCGUUGCGUCGAAUUAAGCCACAUGCUCCGCCGCUUGUGCGGGCCCCCGUCAAUUCCUUUGAGUUUAAGCCUUGCGGCCGUACUCCCCAGGCGGGGUGCUUAAUGCGUUAGCUUCGGCACAGAGCGGGUCAAACGCCGCCCCACACCUAGCACCCAACGUUUACGGCUAGGACUAC
RNAcentral lists this unclassified non-coding RNA (379 nucleotides) under uncultured Actinomycetes bacterium. Its description in RNAcentral is "uncultured actinobacterium contains 16S-23S intergenic spacer region". The record is from RNAcentral. Lineage: Bacteria; Bacillati; Actinomycetota; Actinomycetes.